This 429-nucleotide ribosomal RNA is filed under the name uncultured prokaryote. RNAcentral's name for it is "bacterial SSU rRNA". It matches the Rfam family "Bacterial small subunit ribosomal RNA", at positions 355 to 776 of the family's 1533-position model. The record is from RNAcentral.
UGGGGAAUUUUGGACAAUGGGGGCAACCCUGAUCCAGCCAUGCCGCGUGAGUGACGAAGGCCUUCGGGUUGUAAAGCUCUGUUGUCGGGGAAGAACACCUUCCAUGUGAAUAAUGUGGAGGGAUGACGGUACCCGACGAGGAAGCCACGGCUAACUACGUGCCAGCAGCCGCGGUAAUACGUAGGUGGCGAGAGUUGUCCGGAAUUAUUGGGCGUAAAGCGCGCGCAGGCGGGAAAGUAAGUCCACUUUAAAAGUGCGGGGCUCAACCCCGGGAUGGGGUGGAAACUGCUUUUCUUGAGUGCCGGAGAGGAAAGCGGAAUUCCCAGUGUAGCAGUGAAAUGCGUAGAUAUUGGGAGGAACACCAGUGGCGAAGGCGGCUUUCUGGACGGUGUCUGACGCUGAGGCGCGAAAGCCAGGGGAGCGAACGGG